UAAUUUGAUAAUCCACAAAAAACCUUACCACAACUUGAAUAGCUAUAUCUUGUUUAAAAUCAUAAGCAAGAUAUAUUUACAAGCGUUGCACGGCUGUCUUCAGUUAAUGUCGUGAGAUUUGGUUAGAUCCAUUAAAUUAACGCAAACCCUUGCUUUAUUUUUAAAUAAUGCAGUUCAUCCACUACAACGGAUAUGAUAACAGGGACUAAGACAAGUCAUCAUGGCCCGACAUGUUGU
This 237-nucleotide ribosomal RNA is filed under the name Ramalinaceae sp. Its description in RNAcentral is "partial small subunit ribosomal RNA". It matches the Rfam family "Bacterial small subunit ribosomal RNA", at positions 947 to 1210 of the family's 1533-position model. The record is from RNAcentral. Lineage: Eukaryota; Fungi; Ascomycota; Lecanoromycetes; Lecanorales; Ramalinaceae.